Molecule: ribosomal RNA, 628 nt
Filed under: uncultured bacterium
Lineage: Bacteria
Description: bacterial SSU rRNA
Rfam family: Bacterial small subunit ribosomal RNA
Source: RNAcentral
UGCAGUCGAGCGAGAUCUUCGGAUCUAGCGGCGGACGGGUUAGUAACGCGUGGGAACGUACCCAAAGGUAGGGAAUAGCCACUGGAAACGGUGAGUAAUACCCUAUGUGCCCUUCGGGGGAAAGAUUUAUCGCCUUUGGAUCGGCCCGCGUUAGAUUAGAUAGUUGGUGGGGUAACGGCCUACCAAGUCUACGAUCUAUAGCUGGUUUUAGAGGAUGAUCAGCAACACUGGGACUGAGACACGGCCCAGACUCCUACGGGAGGCAGCAGUGAGGAAUAUUGGACAAUGGGGGCAACCCUGAUCCAGCCAUGCCGCGUGAGUGAUGACGGCCUUAGGGUUGUAAAGCUCUUUCGCUAGGGAAGAUAAUGACGGUACCUAGUAAAGAAGCCCCGGCUAACUUCGUGCCAGCAGCCGCGGUAAUACGAAGGGGGCUAGCGUUGUUCGGAAUCACUGGGCGUAAAGCGCGCGUAGGCGGACUUUUAAGUCAGGGGUGAAAUCCCGGGGCUCAACCUCGGAACUGCCUUUGAUACUGGAAGUCUUGAGUUCGAGAGAGGUGAGUGGAAUACCGAGUGUAGAGGUGAAAUUCGUAGAUAUUCGGAGGAACACCAGUGGCGAAGGCGGCUCACUG